RNAcentral lists this ribosomal RNA (357 nucleotides) under uncultured bacterium. RNAcentral's name for it is "bacterial SSU rRNA". It matches the Rfam family "Bacterial small subunit ribosomal RNA", at positions 28 to 408 of the family's 1533-position model. The record is from RNAcentral.
GAUGAACGCUGGCGGUGUGCCUAAUACAUGCAAGUCGAACGGGCUCUUCGGAGCUAGUGGCGGACGGGUGAGUAACACGUUGGUACCUACCCCUAAGUGGGGAAGUAACUGCCCGAACGGGUAGGCUAAUACCGCAUAAUCCCGCAAGGGUAAAGCAGUAAUGCGCUUAGGGAGGGGCCGUGCGUCUGAUUAGCUAGUUGGUAGUGUAAUGGACUACCAAGGCGACGAUCAGUAGCUGGAUCGAGAGGUUGACCAGCCACACUGGGACUGAGAUACGGCCCAGACUCCUACGGGAGGCAGCAGUAAGGAAUCUUCCACAAUGGACGAAAGUCUGAUGGAGCAACACCGCGUGCAGGA